Molecule: ribosomal RNA, 344 nt
Filed under: Escherichia coli
Lineage: Bacteria; Pseudomonadati; Pseudomonadota; Gammaproteobacteria; Enterobacterales; Enterobacteriaceae
Also listed under: 1 other name
Description: partial 23S ribosomal RNA
Rfam family: Bacterial large subunit ribosomal RNA
Source: RNAcentral
GUACUCCGGGGAUAACAGGCUGAUACCGCCCAAGAGUUCAUAUCGACGGCGGUGUUUGGCACCUCGAUGUCGGCUCAUCACAUCCUGGGGCUGAAGUAGGUCCCAAGGGUAUGGCUGUUCGCCAUUUAAAGUGGUACGCGAGCUGGGUUUAGAACGUCGUGAGACAGUUCGGUCCCUAUCUGCCGUGGGCGCUGGAGAACUGAGGGGGGCUGCUCCUAGUACGAGAGGACCGGAGUGGACGCAUCACUGGUGUUCGGGUUGUCAUGCCAAUGGCACUGCCCGGUAGCUAAAUGCGGAAGAGAUAAGUGCUGAAAGCAUCUAAGCACGAAACUUGCCCCGAGAUG